GGCCAUAGCUCAGGGGGAGAGCAUCUGCAUGGCAUUCAGAAGAUCCCAGGUUCAGUCCCCGGCAACUCCA
Molecule: non-coding RNA, 70 nt
Organism: Podarcis lilfordi (Lilford's wall lizard)
Lineage: Eukaryota; Metazoa; Chordata; Lepidosauria; Squamata; Lacertidae
Source: the annotation of a GenBank genome assembly